GGGGGUGACCGGUUUCGACGGGGAACGACUGGGCCUGAGAGGCGAGUCGAGUCGGCAAGAGCUCGUAAAAAAGUUGCAACUUUGUAUAAACGCCAAGAGACAGCCACAGCUGGCUCUCGCGGCCUAGUGCCGCGUGUUCUAGUCCGUUUCGCCGUUAGAGCGAAUUAGAGCAUCAAACUAUAACGGCUGCCUAUGAGAUGAUCGGUCUUUGUUGUCUCGGGGAGAAGAUAGAAGAUAUGGCCUGUAGCGAUCCCGCUCUGAAGAGCGCUGCAGGGCGAGAGUAAAGUCGGAGCUACACUCGUAGAUUCUUAGGUAGGGUCUUUUCCGGACGCGGGUUCAACUCCCGCCACCUCCACCA
Molecule: transfer-messenger RNA, 358 nt
Filed under: Candidatus Xenobiales
Lineage: Bacteria; Bacillati; Vulcanimicrobiota; Candidatus Xenobia
Description: JADMJV01 sp017307785 Standard tmRNA
Rfam family: transfer-messenger RNA
About the family: Bacterial tmRNA, also known as 10Sa RNA or SsrA, is named for its dual tRNA and mRNA-like properties. Its role is to liberate the mRNA from a stalled ribosome.
Source: RNAcentral